RNAcentral lists this ribosomal RNA (497 nucleotides) under uncultured bacterium. RNAcentral describes it as "partial 16S ribosomal RNA". It matches the Rfam family "Bacterial small subunit ribosomal RNA", at positions 28 to 507 of the family's 1533-position model. The record is from RNAcentral.
GACGAACGCUGGCGGCGUGCCUAAUACAUGCAAGUAGAACGCUGAAGCGAGGCGCUUGCUCUUCUUGGGGGAGUUGCGAAAGGGUGAGUAACGCGUAGGUAACCUGCAUGGUCGCGGGGGAUAACUAUUGGAAACGAUAGCUAAUACCGCAUAAAAUGGAUUAUCGCAUGAUAAUCCAUUAAAAGGUGCAAAUGCAUCACUAUCAGCCGGAACUGCGUUGUAUUAGCUAGUUGGUGGGGUAACGGCUCACCAAGGCGACGAGAGAUCGCCGACCUGAUAGGGUGGUUGGCCACACUGGGACUGAGACACUGCACAGACUCCGACGGGAGGCAGCAGUAGGGGACCUUCGGCAAUGGACGGAAGUCGGAUCGGGCAACGCCGCGUGGGUGAAUGAGGUUUUCGGAUCGUAAAGCACAGGUGUAAGAGAAGAGCGGGUGUGGGAGUGGAAAGUUCACACUGUGACGGUAACUUACCAGAAAGGCACGGCUAACUACGUG